UGCAAGUCGAGCGAGACCUUCGGGUCUAGCGGCGGACGGGUUUAGUAACGCGUGGGAACGUGCCCUUCUCUGCGGAAUAGCCACUGGAAACGGUGAGUAAUACCGCAUACGCCCUUCGGGGGAAAGAUUUAUCGGAGAAGGAUCGGCCCGCGUUAGAUUAGAUAGUUGGUGGGGUAACGGCCUACCAAGUCUACGAUCUAUAGCUGGUCUGAGAGGAUGAUCAGCCACACUGGAACUGAGACACGGUCCAGACUCCUACGGGAGGCAGCAGUGAGGAAUAUUGGACAAUGGGCGAAAGCCUGAUCCAGCCAUACCGCAUGAGUGAUGAAGGCCCUUGGGUUGUAAAGCUCUUUUAGUGGGGAAGAUAAUGACGGUACCCACAGAAGAAGUUCCGGCUAACUCCGUGCCAGCAGCCGCGGUAAU
This 423-nucleotide ribosomal RNA is filed under the name uncultured bacterium. RNAcentral's name for it is "bacterial SSU rRNA". It matches the Rfam family "Bacterial small subunit ribosomal RNA", at positions 56 to 524 of the family's 1533-position model. The record is from RNAcentral.